RNAcentral lists this ribosomal RNA (403 nucleotides) under uncultured bacterium. RNAcentral's name for it is "bacterial SSU rRNA". It matches the Rfam family "Bacterial small subunit ribosomal RNA", at positions 29 to 416 of the family's 1533-position model. The record is from RNAcentral.
AACGAACGCUGGCGGCGUGCCUAACACAUGCAAGUCGUGCGAGAAAGUUCCUUCGGGAGCGAGUAAAGCGGCGCACGGGUGAGUAACACGUAGGUAACCUGCCCCCCAGUCUGGAACAACUAGAGGAAACUCUAGCUAAUGCCGGAUGAGACCACGAUCCCUUCGGGGGUUGCGGCCAAAGAUGGCCUCUACUUGUAAGCUAUCGCUGAGGGAUGGGCCUGCGGGCCAUUAGCUUGUUGGUGAGGUAACGGCUCACCAAGGCUGUGAUGGCUAGCUGGUCUGAGAGGAUGACCAGCCACACUGGGACUGAGACACGGCCCAGACUCCUACGGGAGGCAGCAGUGGGGAAUAUUGCGCAAUGGGCGAAAGCCUGACGCAGCGACGCCGCGUGGUGAUGAAGGCC